This is a non-coding RNA of Rattus norvegicus (Norway rat), 1309 nucleotides long. NCBI's taxonomy places the organism in Eukaryota, Metazoa, Chordata, Mammalia, Rodentia, Muridae. The record is from RefSeq and is a predicted model, not a curated record.
AGAGGACAGCACUGUAGGUAAACUACAAGAUGCCUUCUUGACAUUCUUCAAGUGUUUGAGUACAUUAAGGGUGUACACACAGUGAGAACCUUCUCAAGUCAGCCCAGACCUGGCCUGUCUGGGACAAUUCAGGGCUUGCGGUAACGAAGGACAAGUCGCCGCAGGGUACUACAUUAAUGCUAAAUUUUAGACUGCUUUAAAGCAGCACUCAACUCCUUCGGUGGAAGAGCUCGAUGGUUAGGAAGGGAACCGGGUAAGUAGAGAUGGUGGCUCUGCAAAGGACGUGAUGUGGGUCGCUGACCCCCUCAUCUCUGAGCCACACUAUUGUCAAAGUUUGUAAGAGGGUUCUUAUACAGUCCGGCAUCAGAAAAACAGUCUUCAUACAUGCAAAUUCAUCUUGGGAUCUAGAAAGAUCUUGCCCGACAGUCCUCCCCUGAACAUUCAGUUGGAGGAAGCUGCAGGUUUUAGGCUGAAUUUGCCUUUAUUGAAAUAAAAUAGAACUCAUUGAUGUAGACAUUCUUUUUUUUACUUAGAUACAUAUCGGCCGUGUCGCCUCACUCUGUGUGCCAACUGCCAAAGGCCUGACUUACUGAGAUAUGAGUGGGCUGACACUUAACAGCUCUUGUCAAAGGAGAGAAGGAUUUGCCUCUGAGACAAACGACCGGUGUGGCUCAGGACACGGAUUCAGGUUGGCGUGACGGACGUGUCACACCAUGGAAGAAGGGUCCCGAAGGGUUAUUGUCACAAAACAAAAAGAAGUCAGCACUUUUUCUGUGUUUCCCAGUGAUCUUAGAUGAGCCCUGUGACCCUGUCAUGAGACCCCCUAUGAAAGGGUCCUUCGACCCCCAUAGGGGUCUCGACCCACACGCUGAAACUGCUGCUCUAUGCAGCCAAAGUUAGCAGCUGCUGGGUCUUUGAUAUGGAGACCGCCUCUUCAGAGAACUCUAGUUCACAGAUAAUGGGCAGGAGGGGACAGUCAUCAUGAACAGGACAGCUUCCCAGAAAGAAGGAUGACCAUGGCGGUGCAGUGACAGAGGCCUCAGCUACCAGCCACAGGCACUGCUUUGUUCUUCCCUUAUUCGGUGAGCAGUGUUCACUUUCAACAGUCUGAGAGCAGAGUGGAAGUGUCCUCCGCAUCCUUGAAGGCCUCCCCACCCACAGGCCAGGGCUAGUGGCUUCCUCCUCCUGGCACUCGCCCUCCCUUCUCGUUCCCAGAGCAGCCAAAGGCCAAGGUCUUUUCAUUAUUUCCCGUUUCCUCCUCGGGAAAUUAUAUGAUUAUAAUAAAAUACCAAAAAGAAUAGUAGCUACA